AGCUCCAAAAGCGUAUAUUAAAGUUGUUGCAGUUAAAAAGCUCGUAGUUGGAUUUGGGGUAACGGUAGUAACUUUUUCUUUAUGAAAAAUGUUGCUAGUCUGACCCAGUGUUUGCAGUUUUCCCACGUUGCACUUCACUGUGUGAUGUGUGUGAAGCUGAAGCGUUUACUUUGAAAAAAUUAGAGUGCUUAGAGCAAGCGUAUGCUUGAAUAUUGUUGCAUGGGAUAAUGAAAUAGGACCACGGUUCUAUUUUGUUGGUUUUCGGAAACCGAGGAAAUGAUCGAGAGGAACAGCCGAGGGCAUUCGUAUUGUGGCGCUAGAGGUGGAAUUCUUGGACCGCCGCAAGACGAACAACCGCGAAAGCAUUUGCCAAGAAUGUUUUCA
Molecule: ribosomal RNA, 384 nt
Filed under: uncultured eukaryote
Lineage: Eukaryota
Description: SSU rRNA
Rfam family: Eukaryotic small subunit ribosomal RNA
Source: RNAcentral